AUGUGUCCAAUGGAGUUAAAUGGUCCUCCACUUGGCCAACCAACAACUCCUGCACCUGUUGAGCAAUCUCAUGCACAAGUGCCCACACAAGAUGACUUUGAUGAUAUAGACAAGCUCACAUUGCUUAGUCUCGAGUUCACUUGGAGUGUUGAAGAUGAUCCAAUUAGGCCGGUGAUACUAGAGGAAAUGAAGAAGAUCAAGAGUGGAAAAGAGCUAGUGGAAGAAGUAAGGAAGAUUGAGAAGAACAUCAACGCUGGCAGUACUAUCUCUUCCCUCCUUGAGUUGAGUGUUGCUGGGAUAUCCCUUGAGGUGUGUGAGGUUCCAACACCUUCACAUUCAGCUGAGCAAGAUAGCGAGAGUCCAGAGGAAGAGAUACUUCAGAUCCAAGAAGAAAUUCUCAAAGCCAAGGCACAAGAUGAUCCAGAGCUCGAAUAA
RNAcentral lists this ribosomal RNA (435 nucleotides) under Triticum aestivum (bread wheat). RNAcentral's name for it is "partial small subunit ribosomal RNA". Lineage: Eukaryota; Viridiplantae; Streptophyta; Magnoliopsida; Poales; Poaceae. The record is from RNAcentral.